Agrilus planipennis (emerald ash borer) is the source of this 1170-nucleotide long non-coding RNA. RefSeq lists it as uncharacterized. NCBI's taxonomy places the organism in Eukaryota, Metazoa, Arthropoda, Insecta, Coleoptera, Buprestidae. The record is from RefSeq and is a predicted model, not a curated record. The transcript is spliced from 7 exons.
CCCAUUUCUCCAUAGCAUAAAUUGAGAUUAACUUGAAUCUAUGGUUAUUUAAUUUUGCUAUUUUGAUAUAUGACAAUUGAUUGUGUUUGUUAAAGUCCAGGCUCCUUCAUUCUAAUACUUGUUAAUUUUGGUAUUUUACUUGGUUUUUGAUAGUUGACUUAAUAGUUUGCUGUGGUGCAAGACUCCCUGGAUUUUGUUGUUUGCUGCUUACUAUUAACCGAGAAUGAAUUUGCAGUCAAAUGGCAGUGUAAUAUCAGGGGAUCAUCUCUGUGAUUGUGUUAUCAUCCAAUUCUUAAAUAGUUGACUUAACAGUCUACUGUAGGGUAGGACACCUAGAACUUUGUUGUUUGCUGCUUACCAUUAACAUAGAACGAAUUUGCAGUCAAAUGGCAGUGCAAUAUCUGGGGAUCGUCUCUGUGAUUGUGUGAGCAUCUAAUUCUUAAAUAGUUGACUUAAUAGUCUACUGUGCUGUAGGACUCCCUGGACUUUGUUGUUUUCUGCUUAUAAUUAACCUAGAACGAAUUUGCAGGAAGGGCAGUAUCUGAGAAUCAUCUAUGUGAUUGUGUGAUAAUGAUGUCUUAAAGCAACGCUGAACCAUCUUCCUGUGAUGAUACAAGGGAGUUUUUAUUAACAAAACUAGUAUAAAAUUCAUCAGUGCAAUGUUCGAAAAGGUGCAGUUGCUUUUUAUAAGAAACGAGCACUUUACUAUUAGCAAACUGUUUAAGUAAUAGGUGUUCACUAUUAAUAAAAACAAAGAAGAAAAACAGAGAAGAUUGAUAGAUAGCUGAGCUGAUCAUAAAUAUUAAUCGUUGACUUAAUAGUCUACUGUGCUGUAGGACUCCCUGGACUUUGUUGUUUGCUGCUUACCGCUAACCUAACAACAAUUGGCAGUCAAUAAUGGUGGGAAUAAAGGCCAUUAUACUGUUUAUUCAUAUAAACUGAUAAAUAAGUUCAUAAUUACUUUAAGGUGCUAUGCAUGCUAUAGCUAUAGAAGAUGAGUUAAUGAUUCAUAAUAAGCGCCGUUCGGCGUAGUGUUCCUAUGACGGCAUUCAAUAACUAGUGGAUAGUAUGUGGAAACCUACGGACGUGAAAGGUAUUGUGCCUUGUAUCUGUUGGCGCCCCUUGUUUGUUGCAAGGCAUUCGGCAACUGAUGUGUAGGACAUUCGGCGU